RNAcentral lists this ribosomal RNA (253 nucleotides) under uncultured bacterium. RNAcentral's name for it is "partial 16S ribosomal RNA". It matches the Rfam family "Bacterial small subunit ribosomal RNA", at positions 524 to 776 of the family's 1533-position model. The record is from RNAcentral.
UACGUAGGGUGCAAGCGUUAAUCGGAAUUACUGGGCGUAAAGCGUGCGCAGGCGGCUUUGCAAGACAGAUGUGAAAUCCCCGGGCUUAACCUGGGAACUGCAUUUGUGACUGCAUGGCUGGAGUGCGGCAGAGGGGGGUAGAAUUCCACGUGUAGCAGUGAAAUGCGUAGAGAUGUGGAGGAAUACCGAUGGCGAAGGCAGCCCCCUGGGAUAACACUGACGCUCAUGCACGAAAGCGUGGGGAGCAAACAGG